Molecule: ribosomal RNA, 325 nt
Filed under: uncultured eukaryote
Lineage: Eukaryota
Description: partial 18S ribosomal RNA
Rfam family: Eukaryotic small subunit ribosomal RNA
Source: RNAcentral
CCCUUAGAUGUCCUGGGCUGCACGCGCGCUACACUGAUGUGUCCAGUAAGCACCUAACCUCUUCCGAAAGGAACGGGUAACCUUUGCAAAGCACAUCGUGAUGGGGAUAGAUUAUUGCAAUUAUUAGUCUUGAACGAGGAAUUCCUAGUAAGCACAAGUCAUCAGCUUGUGUUGAUUACGUCCCUGCCCUUUGUACACACCGCCCGUCGCUCCUACCGAUUGAAUGUUCCGGUGAAUUGUUCGGACCUGCUGGUUCUUCGGUUUCGGAGUUCUAGUGGGAAAGUUCUGUGAACCUUAUCACUUAGAGGAAGGAGAAGUCGUAACA